UGAAUUUCAUUUGCAUGAACGGUUCAGAAGAAGCUAAGGGCGUAUUGCACCUUCCCUAAGAAGGUACAACAAGAAACAAACCUAGCAUUAAAUAUCCAUUCACUCCCCCAAUCUUAAACUCUUCGCGCACGCCGCUUUUGAUGUACGGCAUCAAUACAAACACCAAAACAAUAAAUACAAGUCACUCCUCCCUCCCAUUGGCACAAAUAAAAACCCCACAUUAUUAUUAUACUGUACUUGAACAACUACUGAAGAAAUCAACCCUAGAAGUGAAUCACUUCAUUAUUAUGUAAUGCAUCAUAAGAAAUCCGAAGUUCAGAUCGGAAAAGAAAGCAGUGG
Molecule: long non-coding RNA, 339 nt
Filed under: Arachis ipaensis
Lineage: Eukaryota; Viridiplantae; Streptophyta; Magnoliopsida; Fabales; Fabaceae
Description: long non-coding RNA (AIPA_LNC002138)
Source: RNAcentral